UACUGUGUUUGGCAUCUCUGUUCCAAUGCCAGCAGCCGUUUCGCGACCCACGGCGGACUUGCAUAAACACUUUCUAGUUGGAAUCUCACCCUGCGAGGUGGGCAGGUGGUGAUAUUCCUGUUUGACGCCGACAGAAGUAAGACAGAUUGACUCUCAGAAUCAUGUGGCGGGAUUUUAAAGGGGGAUCUUAGUGGUGGCUCCAGACCCGUGUUUUCUGCUUCUAGCAUGAACUACGUCGUUAAACACUUCUGAAUUUAUUUUGUCUGUGAAAUGGGGAAAAGAUAGCCACCUUGCAUAACUGGUGAAGAAUUCGUAAACAGAAGAAUCUAGUAAGAGGACUGGCCCGUGGUCGGCUCUCAGUGAUGUCACAGAAUAAAGAAAAAAACUGGGAGAGAGAUGGGAGCUGAUAGACCAGAGGAGACCAAAGACUUAAAGUGAAGACUAAACCAUGGGAAAUUGGAGCAAGGACUUAUUUGUUUAGAGGGUGAAAAGAGCGAAUUUGCCUACAGGGCAAAUCUGGAAGCAGCUCUCCCUGGAAGCCAGUCAAAGAAGAGCCAUUGGAGGAUUUUAAACCAGGAACCGAAAAUAGAGUCUGAAAAUAGAGGCGCAGAGACUGGUCAACCGCAAUGAAGACCAAUCCAUUUGACCUCCAUCCUGGCUCAUCUCCUCUGUGUUCUCAUAGCAUCGUAUUACAGAAUGGAUCACAAACACCUCUGCAGUUGCCUACUUAUUUGUCCAUUUCUCCCUCCAGACUGCCUUUGUGAGAAAAACACCCAGAUGCCACAAGUGCAUCCCCAGGGAGCUGCAGGGUGGCAGGAGCCGAGGAUGCAAAAACAUAACUGCCUUCUAUCUACUCUGAUUUGAGCCUCAUCAAAUCCUUUGGCUCCCAAGGUAUUCUGCAGCAGAUGUGUGCACAAUAUUCCAGCACUGGGACUUGUGUCUGCGGGUUCUGCUGGGGGCCCAAGAGUCUGAGGGUCUGCAAAGCCUCCAAGCCCUUCCCCUUCCUCCCAGGCCUCAGGGCCUGCGCUGGCCACCCUCCUAUACAGCCCUUACUUGGCAUUCUUGCUAAGUUCUUUGGGGGCUCCAACCUUGACUCUUUUCAUUCCACGCUGAUUUCUUCUGGGCUCUGCGCCUUGGGGGAGAACUUGCAAUGCUAGUAAUAAACAAAGAGCGCUCAUGAU
This is a long non-coding RNA of Piliocolobus tephrosceles (Ugandan red Colobus), 1181 nucleotides long. RefSeq lists it as uncharacterized. The record is from RefSeq and is a predicted model, not a curated record. The transcript has 5 exons. NCBI's taxonomy places the organism in Eukaryota, Metazoa, Chordata, Mammalia, Primates, Cercopithecidae.